This 29-nucleotide non-coding RNA is filed under the name Mus musculus (house mouse). Lineage: Eukaryota; Metazoa; Chordata; Mammalia; Rodentia; Muridae. The record is from RNAcentral.
UGCCUCCCUACAGCCUAUCCUUUACCAAG